This 255-nucleotide ribosomal RNA is filed under the name uncultured bacterium. RNAcentral's name for it is "partial 16S ribosomal RNA". It matches the Rfam family "Bacterial small subunit ribosomal RNA", at positions 524 to 776 of the family's 1533-position model. The record is from RNAcentral.
UACGGGGGGGGCAAGCGUUGUUCGGAAUUACUGGGCGUAAAGGGCGCGUAGGCGGCCACCGCAAGUCGGUUGUGAAAUCUCUGGGCUUAACCCAGAAAGGUCAACCGAUACUGCGGGGCUAGAGUGCAGAAGGGGCAACUGGAAUUCUCGGUGUAGCGGUGAAAUGCGUAGAUAUCGGGAGGAACACCAGUGGCGAAGGCGACUACCUGGCCUGUUUCUUGACGCUGAGGCGCGAAAGCUAGGGGAGCAAACGGG